UGAUAUCGUGCUUGACAAAAAGAUCGUCUUGAUAAAGCGAGUAUGAGAGCCAACCUCUCCGUUAUCAA
RNAcentral lists this transfer RNA (68 nucleotides) under Bitias brevis. RNAcentral describes it as "tRNA-Ile". The record is from RNAcentral. Lineage: Eukaryota; Metazoa; Arthropoda; Malacostraca; Decapoda; Pandalidae.